This 297-nucleotide ribosomal RNA is filed under the name Triticum aestivum (bread wheat). Its description in RNAcentral is "partial small subunit ribosomal RNA". It matches the Rfam family "Eukaryotic large subunit ribosomal RNA", at positions 1890 to 2184 of the family's 3401-position model. The record is from RNAcentral. Lineage: Eukaryota; Viridiplantae; Streptophyta; Magnoliopsida; Poales; Poaceae.
AUGGAACAAUGUAGGCAAGGGAAGUCGGCAAAACGGAUCCGUAACUUCGGGAAAAGGAUUGGCUCUGAGGACUGGGCUCGGGGGUCCCGGCCCCGAACCCGUCGGCUGUCGGCGGAUUGCUCGAGCUGCUCACGCGGCGAGAGCGGGUCGCCGCAUGCCGGCCGGGGGACGGACCGGGAAUCGCCCCUUCGGGGGCUUUCCCCGAGCAUGAAACAGUCGACUCAGAACUGGUACGGACAAGGGGAAUCCGACUGUUUAAUUAAAACAAAGCAUUGCGAUGGUCCUCGCGGAUGCUGA